GAUGAACGCUGGCGGCGUGCCUAAUACAUGCAAGUCGAGCGAACAGACGAGGAGCUUGCUCCUCUGACGUUAGCGGCGGACGGGUGAGUAACACGUGGAUAACCUACCUAUAAGACUGGGAUAACUUCGGGAAACCGGAGCUAAUACCGGAUAACAUGUUGAACCGCAUGGUUCAACAGUGAAAGACGGUCUUGCUGUCACUUAUAGAUGGAUCCGCGCCGCAUUAGCUAGUUGGUAAGGUAACGGCUUACCAAGGCAACGAUGCGUAGCCGACCUGAGAGGGUGAUCGGCCACACUGGAACUGAGACACGGUCCAGACUCCUACGGGAGGCAGCAGUAGGGAAUCUUCCGCAAUGGGCGAAAGCCUGACGGAGCAACGCCGCGUGAGUGAUGAAGGUCUUCGGAUCGUAAAACUCUGUUAUUAGGGAAGAACAAAUGUGUAAAUAACUAUGCACGUCUUGACGGUACCUAAUCAGAAAGCCACGGCUAACUACGUG
RNAcentral lists this ribosomal RNA (497 nucleotides) under uncultured bacterium. RNAcentral describes it as "partial 16S ribosomal RNA". It matches the Rfam family "Bacterial small subunit ribosomal RNA", at positions 28 to 507 of the family's 1533-position model. The record is from RNAcentral.